AUGGCAUCUCGGGACAAGGGAUGCCUUGGGGACACCCUGUUGAGACGUGCCUCCGUGCCCCCAGAUGUGGGCGUGUGCCCUGGGGCACCGGGAGGCAGCGGAGCGGCUGUGCCGCUGGGACCGGCGGGCGCUGGCCGUCCCCGACACCCUGGGGCGGCUGCCGCUGGCCCUGGCACGUGCCCGGGGCCACCUGGCCCUGGUCACCCGCCUCGAGGAGCUGCAGGUGUCACCCGUGUCCCCGCGCUGUCACCUGUCUGGCCUGCGCAUCCCUUCCCCACUCUCUGCCAGCCCCGACACAGGUAUGGCCCUGGCACCUUGUACCCUCCCUGUCCUCUGGCGCGGUGUCCUGUUGUCCCUGUCCGGUCCCAGGCUCCCGGUUAUCACCAGCCUGGUGUGGCCACCUUCAGUGUCCCCUCACUGCUUCUGACUGCUGUGACUGUCACCAUAUUCCCUCCUUGUCCCCUUUUGUGUGCCCCCAGGGCAUCACUCAUCCCCUCCAGCCUUUCCCUGCUGUGUCCCCCUCAUGUCCCUUGUCCUCCCCCAGCAUCUUUGUGUAGCCAGGUGUGCCAAGUUCCCUCUCCAUGUUCUUUGUCCCCAGCUCUUGUUUUCCCUUUGCAUUCCCAUGUCACCCUUGUUCUCUGUUCUCCCCAGCUUCUUCAUGUCCCUGAUGUGUCCCCAUCGUAUCCCCUGUCCUCUUGCCAUGUCCCACAUGUCCCACUUCCCCUAGGGGUGUGUCUUUCCAGGACUAAACCCCCUGCCAUGUCCCCCCUGUCCCCAGGGCUGAGCACAGCUAGCAGCCUGUCGUCCCCAUCGGGGCUCUCGGAGGGUCCUGGUUCCGUCCCACUGCCCCCUGGCCCCCCUGGUCCCUCUGAGGAUGAGAGCUGGGGGGUGGCAGUGCCCCCCAGCCCCCCUGAGGAUACCCUGGCCCUACCCUCUGACGCCCUGCAGGUAAAGGUGGGGGACAGCCAGGGCUGGGGACACCAUUGGUGCAGGAGAGUCACAAUGUCCCGUGUCCCCAGGCCGAGGUGGUGA
Molecule: long non-coding RNA, 1032 nt
Filed under: Cyanistes caeruleus (blue tit)
Lineage: Eukaryota; Metazoa; Chordata; Aves; Passeriformes; Paridae
Description: lncRNA (ENSCCEG00000014282.1)
Source: RNAcentral